Molecule: small nucleolar RNA, 114 nt
Filed under: Sorex araneus (European shrew)
Lineage: Eukaryota; Metazoa; Chordata; Mammalia; Eulipotyphla; Soricidae
Description: Small nucleolar RNA SNORA26 (ENSSARG00000019570.1)
Rfam family: Small nucleolar RNA SNORA26
About the family: The snoRNA HBI-6 belong to the H/ACA family of snoRNAs, guiding the pseudouridylation of position U4522 if the 28S rRNA. HBI-6 is the human orthologue of mouse MBI-6 snoRNA.
Source: RNAcentral
GUGUCAGGCAGGCUUCAAACAACGCUUUUAAGAAACUGACACACGGCACAGUCAGUCUCCGGAAAACCCAGAGAAGAUCAGAAAACUCUUUGGAUCCUGUCCAGAGGCACAGAA